CCUACGGGGGGCUGCAGUGGGGAAUAUUGGACAAUGGGCGAAAGCCUGAUCCAGCCAUGCCGCGUGUGUGAAGAAGGCCUUCGGGUUGUAAAGCACUUUCAGUGGGGAAGAAAGCCUUGGGGCUAAUACCCUCGAGGAAGGACAUCACCCACAGAAGAAGCACCGGCUAACUCCGUGCCAGCAGCCGCGGUAAUACGGAGGGUGCGAGCGGUAAUCGGAAUUACUGGGCGUAAAGCGCGCGUAGGCGGUCUGAUAAGCCGGUUGUGAAAGCCCCGGGCUCAACCUGGGAACGGCAUCCGGAACUGUCAGGCUAGAGUGCAGGAGAGGAAGGUAGAAUUCCCGGUGUAGCGGUGAAAUGCGUAGAGAUCGGGAGGAAUACCAGUGGCGAAGGCGGUCUUCUGGACUGACACUGACGCUGAGGUGCGAAAGCGUGGGUAGCAAACAGGAUUAGAUACCCCAGUAGUC
This 465-nucleotide ribosomal RNA is filed under the name Vreelandella stevensii. RNAcentral's name for it is "partial 16S ribosomal RNA". It matches the Rfam family "Bacterial small subunit ribosomal RNA", at positions 338 to 795 of the family's 1533-position model. Lineage: Bacteria; Pseudomonadati; Pseudomonadota; Gammaproteobacteria; Oceanospirillales; Halomonadaceae. The record is from RNAcentral.